This 395-nucleotide ribosomal RNA is filed under the name uncultured bacterium. Its description in RNAcentral is "bacterial SSU rRNA". It matches the Rfam family "Bacterial small subunit ribosomal RNA", at positions 28 to 424 of the family's 1533-position model. The record is from RNAcentral.
GACGAACGCUGGCGGCGUGCUUAACACAUGCAAGUCGAACGGAGUUACGUUUUCGGAUGUAACUUAGUGGCGAACGGGUGAGUAACGCGUGAGGAACCUGCCUCUCAGUGGGGGACAACAGUUGGAAACGACUGCUAAUACCGCAUAAUGCUAUUGACCGGCAUCGGUUGAUAACCAAAGAUUUAUUGCUGAGAGAUGGCCUCGCGUCUGAUUAGCUAGUUGGUGGGGUAACGGCCCACCAAGGCGACGAUCAGUAGCCGGACUGAGAGGUUGACCGGCCACAUUGGGACUGAGAUACGGCCCAGACUCCUACGGGAGGCAGCAGUGGGGAAUAUUGGGCAAUGGGGGAAACCCUGACCCAGCAACGCCGCGUGAAGGAAGAAGGCCUUCGGGUU